AGGCCACACAAUGAGGAGGAAGACUGAUGAUUUUACAGAUGUCCAGAAGACAGUCAUUGACAUCCUUCACAAGUAAGGUCCCAGAGCCUGGAGGAAGAAUGGAGAGGCACRGAAUCCACAUUGCUUGAAGUCCAGUGACAAGUUUCCACAUUCAGUGACGGCUUGGGGUGCCACGUCAUCUGCUGGUGUUGAUCCACUGUGUUUUCUGACAGUCAAUGCAGUCAUCAUCUACCAGGAAAUUCUAGAGCACUUUUUGUUUCCCUCUGGUGACAAGCUGUAUAGAGCAUAACUUGGCACCUGGAGCACAUUGUCAAAGGUACUAAAAGCUGCUUCGAUGACCAUGGAGUUCCUAUUCUUGACUGGCCAACCCUGGUGUAUGUAAACAUCUGAAUUUAAAGAAAUAWAAUCUGAAAACUC
Molecule: long non-coding RNA, 417 nt
Organism: Poecilia reticulata (guppy)
Lineage: Eukaryota; Metazoa; Chordata; Actinopteri; Cyprinodontiformes; Poeciliidae
Source: RefSeq, a predicted model, not a curated record